Molecule: long non-coding RNA, 1994 nt
Organism: Dermochelys coriacea (leatherback sea turtle)
Lineage: Eukaryota; Metazoa; Chordata; Testudines; Dermochelyidae
Exons: 3
Source: RefSeq, a predicted model, not a curated record
CCUCAUGAAAGAGGGCAGUAGGAAAUGGAGAGUAGAGAUUGUCACACUCUCCAGAAAGUAGAGGGGCCAGGAGUUGUGCUCUCCAUGGACUGGAGCUACAGCACAGAGGAAUUAUUCUAGAAACCAAACAGAUGGAAGGGAGACAGUGCAAAGUCCUUUAUUAUGGAGGCUCUGAGCUAAAUGUGAAUGGAAUUUCACGUGACAAAGAAAAGUCACUUCUGGAGUCUGAGGGCUUUUCCUCAGCUGAAUAUGAAAGGCCUACUGCUAACAAUGCUUAACAAAAAAGUUCACUGAAAAAAAACAGAGAUUCCAUGAUGUGGCAUCAUAUUGGCUCACCACAUGGUUCAUCAGCAAGGUUGGAACCUUUAGAUCCACCACAGAGACUUCUGCCACAUGAGCUAACAGAAUAAUCAGUAGCCGUUACAGAUUAUCAUCUUCUAUGUGGACCAGAACUAGAGGGAGACGAGAGACUCACUUUGCCAAUUGAUUUCAAUGGAUUUCACAGGCUUUGGUGGUGGAGGGGAAUGUUUCUGAGUGAGUACAGACUCUCCUGCCCAUUUCCCCACCCCAAGCUUGACUCCUUCUCUCCUACCACUCCAACCUGUCCACAUCCCCAGUCUUGUCUCUUCCCCACCAAUAGCUUCUUGUCCCAGUCCUAUUCUCCUUGCCUUCCCAGUCUCCAUUCCUCAGUUUUCUCAUCCCAGUUCUAGUCUCCUUGCCCAUCCAGUUCUAUUUACCCACUCCAGGCUCGCUAUCCAAACCCCAGUGACCCAGCCAGUCCAAGUUUUCCCCAACCAGCUCCUUGUCCGAUCUAUCUCUCCACAUCCUUCCCACUGACUGCCAGGCAUAGGCUCCCUUCCUGGGCUUCUCACCUUAUCUGAAUCUCUCUUUCUCUACUCCUUUCCUGGCUCCUUGCCCCAGUCCUUUUGCCAAGUUAUUCCCAGUUCUCCAUGUUGUCAGAUCUGUUUCCUCUCCCCACUGCCUAUGCUUCCCUCCAUGCUGGUUCCAGUCCCACCACCCCUUAGCUCCUCAUCCAGUCUUAGUGUCUCCCCUCCUCCCCACAACCAACUGACUUGAGUCCCCCUUCUUUCUCUCCCUGGCUUUCAGACACCCUUAUUUCACUCCUCAACCCCCACCUCCGGCUCCCAGUCCCCUUGCCCAACAGUCCCUGUUUCUCUUACUCUUUAUUACAAUCCGGUCCGAUUCCUUGUCCCAAUCUACUCUUUUCAUGUCUCCAGGUCUGGCUUUUGUCCCCACCGCACUUGACUCAGACAGCAUUCUCUUGUACACUAUCUGGGUGACGGCAGGGGGGGGGUCAUUGAGCAGACAGGAGACAUCGGCCCCACUCUGGCCUAGAGCAGCCAUUGCAGAGUAAGUUCCCUAUUGUGAAUUCCCCAGGGGGCAUAAUGCUGGCAAGUUGGCUCUUACACCUUCUUUUUUCUGCAGCAUGCAUGUUGUGGAUGAGGAGAGCAGGGAGGAGGAGUGGCUGCAGUUCAAUGCGCUCUGGCAAUCUUCAGCUGGCAUAUGGUCCCUUACAGGGCCAUUACCAGCCAGCGCAAAUUAGAGCGUCCUGAGCCAGGGAUUUACAGAGAAUUGGGGAGACCCUUUCUUCUGUACCUAAUGGGAAGCAGUAGACAAAAUUCUGUCUGUAUGUUUGCCUAAACAAUGUGGUCCAGUAACUUUGUUCAUCUAAGUGAUGCAUCACAGUCUUCAGUAUAGGAAAUUUUUUAAUUUGCUCCAGUUCCAGAAAUCAGACAUGAGAAAUAUAGUGAAUGGGCAAUAUUCAAAACCACAUUGUGGCAUCUGGUUCUGAACAUCACUCAACUGAUUCUGAUUUGUAAGAGCAUUUAAACAGAAGGAGGGAAGAGACUCAUUACUAAUUGCUCUACAAGUAAAAAAGAAAAUAGCUGCUGCAACUGCAGGCAAAACACCUAUGAAAUUGUAUUUUAAUACUUUUGUGACACUAAAGAAGAACAUUAAAAUGUUUUUAUACG